This 385-nucleotide long non-coding RNA is filed under the name Vulpes vulpes (red fox). RNAcentral's name for it is "lncRNA (ENSVVUG00000019419.1)". The record is from RNAcentral. Lineage: Eukaryota; Metazoa; Chordata; Mammalia; Carnivora; Canidae.
GUGGUAACUGCCAAGUACUUCCCAUACUAGAUCUGGAACUGGAUCUCACCUUUCAUUUUAGGUGUUGUGUAUCCCUCUUCUAGACUGUGAAUCCUUAUCAUUAGCUCUACUUUUGGGAGAUUCAACACAAAGUUGUGUAAUUGCAUUCCAAGACUCCAGGAGAAGACCAUGAGUGCUGGGGAAGAGGGACUGAGGGAAUAACACAUCCAUGGGGACUGAAACUUUUAAAGCAGAAAUUGCAGGAGCUUCAGUUACACCAGGAUGAUUGGGAAGAGCCAAAGAGGUGGUGCCAUCAUGGUGACAAAGAUUUUACCUCCUAAAUUUUGCUUCUUGAGCUAGAAGUGAUAAGUUUCAAUAAAUAACAGAGAUCGUGAGUUAUAAGCCA